Molecule: long non-coding RNA, 2286 nt
Organism: Myiozetetes cayanensis
Lineage: Eukaryota; Metazoa; Chordata; Aves; Passeriformes; Tyrannidae
Exons: 3
Source: RefSeq, a predicted model, not a curated record
CGGGGGGCGCCCACAGCCCCGACGUGUCCCGGUGGGACCGGCCGUGCCUGUCACACCCGGUGCGGGUGACCGGGCACUUCCCCGGCGUCGGGUGAUUUCCCGGUGCAAUUUGGACGGGGACAAGUGGGUACAAAUUGAAGGAGAGGAAAUUUAGGUUAGGUGUUCUUAAGGAAUUCUUUACUGUGAGGGUGGUGAGACACUGGCACGGGUUGCCCAGGAAGGUUGUGGGUGCCCCAGCUCUGGCAGUGUUCAAAGCCAGCUUGGAUAAGGCCUUGAGCAGACGAGUCAAGUGGGAGGUGCCCCAGCCCCUGGCAGAGGGGGUUGGGACUAGAUGAUCUUUGGGGUCCCUUCCAGCUCAAGGUUCUGUGUUUGCGUUUUUUAAAAAAAAAAAGGAAAUGCUCAACAAAAUCACAUCCUGGCAUUGCCCAGGUUGGUUACUGGAGGUUUUCAGACCCACUGUUGAUCUUGUCUGUUGCAGUCACUGCAUGCACGGGCAUGGAAAGAGGGGGUAAAUGGCAGGUUUGCUGUAGAUCUUUCAGAAAUGUUGCGAGUUGGGGCAAAUUUGUCAGGACAGGCUGUUGGAAGGCACUGGGAAUUUUGGGGUCCCAGUCUCUGCACUGAGGUCUCCUUGCUGUCCUUCCUGUGUAAUGGAAGGCAAACUCAAAUCCUGAGCCAAGCCUCUGGUCAAAAUUCGUGAGAUGAGUGAAGUCUUCAUCUUUAAGAAUAGCAUCUUGAAAUAAUACAUUGUAUGUUACUUGGUUUAGAGCCUGUAAUUUUUAUCUUUGGUAUGCUCAAGCUUUUCUCCAAAUCCCAAAGGGAAAUAACAAAACUUUUUUUUUCUCAAUGAAAGCUGAGAUUAACAUCUAAUCAUCUUCCCCUUCAGAGGCUUUUUUUUGAGGUUUUAGGAGCACCAACUUAGGUUAAACGAGGAAGUUUGGACAAUAGUGUUUUCCUUUGAGUGGAACUCCGCAGAAGUCUGACUGAGGGAGACUGCGGGCCCAAGACCAGUGGAGAGGUCUGUGAAGGGACAAAAUUCAUGAAAGAAUUGAAACCAGAGAAGGAGAUGAGACCACGUGGAGGCCUGGCCAGUUGAAAUAGAUACCUUGGUUCUGUCUGGAGGCCUUAGAAGCAUUUCUGAGUUCUUCCUCAGUCCUCCUUCAUCACUGAAUCUGUUAUUCAAAAGUUUGGGUAAAGAUGACAGGAACAGUACAGAGAGCAGCACAGACCAUGUGAAGGCACCUGAAAGUGAAAAGAUCAAGACUAGGUUUCAGGAAGGGAGAGCUGGAUGAGACAUCUGAAAGUUUCUUGGGAUCCCAGGUGACAUAAAGGUGUAGAAGGGGAAUGAUUCAGAAUCCCACGUGUGAAGAGCAUGCCUCAGCCAGAUCCUAGCCCGUGUGUGUAAAGUUCCCGGAGGAGUUUCUGCUCCUGUCCUCCUUCGUCACCUAUGGCUUUCCUAGUCAUAGGGAAGAGCUUUUUCUUCCAGGCUUUUCCUAGUCACCAGGAGGGGAUCUUGAGAGACAGGUGUGUGGCUAGCAGACUCCCUAUGCUGCUGUAAGGAAAUAGAGAAUCGGGAAAGGGGUAAUGGCACCAUGCUUUGUCAGUCUUCUAUCAGCUGAGCCCUGAUUUGGAUCCUGAUUCUAUUCCACACACGUAUGAGAGAAGGCAGAUUUAAUAAUCCAAAUAAGUGUGCGGCUUUUUGAGCAAUUAGACAAAUGAACUGGUAAAUACACUUGUGACAGAUGACUCUAUUAUAAUAACAUAAGUAUGCAUUUGUCAUAUUUAGGCAUCUUCAGAGUUUCCCAAAAGUAGAGAAUAAAUGGAACAAUUCAGCUAUAACAGGUGACAAACUUAAAAACACUCAGAAGACGAAUUUUAAAGAUGAAUUUUGGCAAACUUAAAUACAGUUGUUGUAAUAUCAUCCAAGUUACUGAAGUAGAGGCAUAAUACAUAACUAUUCAGAAUGUGUACAAUUCUGACAUAAUUGUAAUUCAAACAACUUCCUAUAGUAGACAGCCACAUCUUUAAUUGAAAAAUGCUGCAGAAACAUUUCUUAGUUAUUUUGGCAGUUUAGAAAACUGAAGAGACCCAUCACUCCUUAUCAAAAACAACCAGUGAACUGACCAAUGUAGAACAUGUUGAACGAGUGAUAUCUUUCAGUGUAAGAAAAAUGUCUUGGAACAUUCUAGACUAAAUACAAAUGUUUGAACAGCAAGAAACACUUCUAUUUUCCAGGUUUGGAAUGUUAAAAAAGAAAAAAACCCUUCAAUUUGUCAUUUAUGGCCUGAC